CUAGAUCUAUGCAGAUGGGAGUAGAGGACCAAGAAAAAUUUCAGGGCACCUAAUCUUCACUCUCCCUCAAGGGCUUCUGGUCCUUACCAUUCAUGGUAAGAGGAAUAGAGGCCUUAGGGGAGAGUGGAUGCUAGGUGUUUUGGUUUCUAUCAAUCGGUUAUACUUCCUAGCCUUGGCCUUAG
Molecule: microRNA precursor, 182 nt
Filed under: Amborella trichopoda
Lineage: Eukaryota; Viridiplantae; Streptophyta; Magnoliopsida; Amborellales; Amborellaceae
Description: miR477 stem-loop (atr-MIR477)
Gene: atr-MIR477
Source: miRBase by way of RNAcentral